This is a long non-coding RNA of Apis florea (little honeybee), 853 nucleotides long. The record is from RefSeq and is a predicted model, not a curated record. Lineage: Eukaryota; Metazoa; Arthropoda; Insecta; Hymenoptera; Apidae.
GAGAAACGAGCGGGGAGGCAGAGACGUAUGCAUCCUGUUCCGGGAAUACGUAGAAUUUUGUGCUCGUUCGAAUUAGCUAAUGAAUCAACCGGACGUGGCGAGUCAUGCACGAUACGUAAGUUGCACGAGCGACAUCCGGUAGAUUCAUUUCGAAACGAUUAUCAUUCACCCAAAAUAUAUUUAUACCUUUGGAUUUGGAAAAAUUGUGAAAGCUUGACGAAUAUUCUCCUCUCGAGCUUCCAUACGUACGGUUUAUUACAGGUGGAAUCAAUUAUCGGCGAUGAAUGAGCCGCGAAAAUAAAUCCAGCCAUAGGUCGUUUCAUUAAUUAUAAUUAAGCGCGAUGAACCGAGACGAGAUGCAUCGAUACAGCGAAACAAUAUGCGCGUUACCCGCCAACAUAUCGCGUCCGUAUAAAUUGAAGCCUUCGAUGAGAGCCUCGUGACUCUUCGCCGCGAUUAUCAUCUCUCGUUUUUUUUUCUUUUUUUUCUCAACACCGAUGCGCUCGUACGCGCCUUGAAAAUAUCAACUCUCAUUAUUGUUUCCAAGAGAAUGCCAAGGGUACGACGGACGCGCGAACCGAUACGAUUAUUUAUAAAUAAUGAGACAGAUGUUGCGCAUCGUGGUACUCACCAUUUUGAAGAAAACCUGCCGAUGUCGGCUCUCGAGUCGAGUAGAAACAAGUUAAAAAAGAAAAAAAGAAUCUCUCUCUGUGUGUUUAUAAAUCCGUAAAUUCGUCCAAUAUAUAUGUAUGUAUAUAUAUAUAUAUCAAUUCUUUUGUCCUUAUUUUAUAUUUUUCAUCAAAAUACGACCCUCGUUUCUCCUUCUUUCUCUCUUCUGCUCGCUUUAUUUGCU